CCUACGGGAGGCUGCAGUGGGGAAUAUUGGACAAUGGGGGCAACCCUGAUCCAGCCAUGCCGCGUGUGUGAAGAAGGCCCUCGGGUUGUAAAGCACUUUCAGUGAGGAAGAACGCCUGGCGGUUAAUACCCAGCAGGAAAGACAUCACUCACAGAAGAAGCACCGGCUAACUCCGUGCCAGCAGCCGCGGUAAUACGGAGGGUGCGAGCGUUAAUCGGAAUUACUGGGCGUAAAGCGCGCGUAGGUGGCUUGAUAAGCCGGUUGUGAAAGCCCCGGGCUCAACCUGGGAACGGCAUCCGGAACUGUCAAGCUAGGGUGCAGGAGAGGAAGGUAGAAUUCCCGGUGUAGCGGUGAAAUGCGUAGAGAUCGGGAGGAAUACCAGUGGCGAAGGCGGCCUUCUGGACUGACACUGACACUGAGGUGCGAAAGCGUGGGUAGCAAACAGGAUUAGAUACCCCGGUAGUC
Molecule: ribosomal RNA, 465 nt
Filed under: Vreelandella stevensii
Lineage: Bacteria; Pseudomonadati; Pseudomonadota; Gammaproteobacteria; Oceanospirillales; Halomonadaceae
Description: partial 16S ribosomal RNA
Rfam family: Bacterial small subunit ribosomal RNA
Source: RNAcentral